This 253-nucleotide ribosomal RNA is filed under the name uncultured bacterium. Its description in RNAcentral is "partial 16S ribosomal RNA". It matches the Rfam family "Bacterial small subunit ribosomal RNA", at positions 524 to 776 of the family's 1533-position model. The record is from RNAcentral.
UACGAAGGGGGCUAGCGUUGCUCGGAAUCACUGGGCGUAAAGCGCACGUAGGCGGAUUGCUAAGUCAGGGGUGAAAUCCUGGAGCUCAACUCCAGAACUGCCUUUGAUACUGGCGAUCUCGAGUCCGGGAGAGGUGAGUGGAACUGCGAGUGUAGAGGUGAAAUGCGUAGAUAUUGGGAGGAACACCAGUGGCGAAGGCGGCUCACUGGACCGGUACUGACGCUGAUGCGCGAAAGCGUGGGGAGCAAACAGG